RNAcentral lists this long non-coding RNA (224 nucleotides) under Helianthus annuus (common sunflower). Its description in RNAcentral is "sRNA HanXRQr2_Chr16g0761611". The record is from RNAcentral. Lineage: Eukaryota; Viridiplantae; Streptophyta; Magnoliopsida; Asterales; Asteraceae.
CUCAACCUCCGCACAACCGCCGUCGCAUACAUCCCUCGCGAACUAGUCGUUGCUGAUCCGAGAUCGUCACAGCUGUUGCACUACAUCGUCCGUCUAGCUCCGUCGCCGCGCUACUCCGUCGUGACCAUCGCCACAUCGUUCAGGUAAUCGGGGGAAACAGGGAUGGCAGUUGUGGUUCACGGUCGAGAACAAGCUGAAUGGUGGAUAAGAGAACACGAGUGACU